ACCUAGGAACUGGCCACACCAGCUCUGAGGUUGGAGAGACAAGGAGGAGGGAACGAUGCCCCCAGAGGAACUGUAUAAAGGGGCCACCCUGCAGGAGCUCCAGUCAUGGAGGGUUAGAGCCAGAAGUGGCCUUGAAGCAGGCAGGGUGCAGGGAAGAAAUGCCCUGAACUUUCCUCCCAGCCUUGAGAUCUGCAAGUGCCUCCCAUUGGCACACCCUACCGGAAGCAGCGAGAAAGCCUGGGUGACAGCGUCUCCUGGAGCCAACCUUCUCGGGAACAGAGGGGCGGAGAACAGAUGGGAAACUGACACGGAUGUAACAUAAGCAGGGAGGCUGAGUCACUUGGGCAAUGACUCAGCCACACCCACCAUGAACUCUCAAUGACUCGAGGAGAAGAAUGGCAUGGAUAAUCUAGAAAAAAUGGACAGUGGGAAAGAACUCCAGUGCUCUCAUGGAGUGCACGGAUCAUGAUUUGCUGCACUGGGGGAGCCGCUGGAUGGAUUCAUUCAUUAUAGUCUCGUCUCUGGCUGAUACUAAAUCUACUUGUUCCUGAGAGCACCUGCGGCCAUCAUGACAGGCUCAGUAUCACAGGGCCUAGUGAAAGAAACUCCCUCUGGCCAAGGACAACAGAAUAAAAACGUAACUGAGUCCCAGAUAUGCUAGUGUUUUCCACCAUUGCAUCUCUAAGAUAUCAACAGGACCUGGAAAGAUGAGAGUGAGUUCACUGUCCCCCCAUGGGCUGAGGUUGCUGGAAUGCUGGAACAGAGAGAAACUGGGAGGUUUUAGAAUGCUCUGGCUUCAGAAUGAAGGGAGCAGAGUGACGAGUGCUGCAAGCUGCAUGGAGCGGCCAAUUGAAAAAGCUAUCGAAGUCAGAACAGCACUGGAAGCGUUGACCCUGAAGAUGCAUGCCUGGAGAGAGGAUUUUUUUCUCUUUUUUUGCACUUUUUAUUGCAGUAAUGCAGGGACAUUCUGUGAGUAGAAUCCAGGGGGCCAUCAAGCCUGCGUUCAGGUGGCUGUGCGGGAAGGGGUUUUGAUCCUGUUCUGAGAAAGCUGUCUUGGGGCCCAGGCAGAGAGCACAUUACUGUGUUAGAGCCUUGAGUGGUUAAGAGAAAGUUCUUGGUUGAAUUGGGAAAGGGACCUGUAAAUAGCUGUAAAAUCCUGAACUAGCCGUGCCUCCUUCUGUGCUAGAUGCAGUCCUGGAGGCAGAGGCGCAGGCGACUCGAGGUCAAACCACUUCUGCUGCUAACUUGGGCAAAUCACACCACCUCUCUGCACCUGUCGGUGAGAGGCUUGGCCUAAAUGGUAUGUCAGCCUCUCCUAGUCUCAGUUGUCUCCCAUUUGUGGAUGCCAUUUCAGGGAUAGAGAAAUCGGAGACUAUUGAUAAAGACUGCAAAAGUGCAGAUUUGCUCAUAACAUGGAAACUCUCAGAGAGCUAGUCCCUACCAGGGAAGGAUGGAGUGGUCUGCCCUGGGCGCUAGGAAUAAGGAAGAGCAUUGUUGAUGGAGAAUUUUAAAACAAUAAUGAAACCAAGGAAAAGUCAGUCUGCUUUUUAGGAUCACCACGCAUGGACAAUUCUAAGCAAUGUCAGGAAUAAAAUACUCCUCCUCACCUGGGUGGACCACUCCCACCAUCCCCCUCCUUGGUUUGCCACUGUUUACCUGAACAAUUCUCUUUUUAUUCAGUGCUCUUUCAAUUCCUCUGACUACAAAGGGGGAGAAAUUCGCUAUGGUGUUAACUCUUUCAUUACCACCCCUUAGUGUUGAUUUGUCUCCAGUAAAGAAGAGUGAUGAGUUACUUUGAGACACAGCAGUGGACCGGAGUGCAACCAAGGAAGCAGGAACAAUAAAAAUGGAGAGAAAAGAAGAUGGAGUGAGGUGUGGAAUGUGUUGAGUAGUGGCUUAGAAAGUGAAGCCCUGAACACAUGGUCUAUGGCCAGGAUGGGGACAGCUCCCCGAAGGCCCAGGUCAGGCUGGACAUGUGGUGCCUAAGAACAGACUGCAGCUGCAUCUCCCUUCUGCUUUCUCAGAUCCCUGGCACUCUGGAGCUUUCCUUUGCGGCACUGUAGAUGCAUUUCUUAGAAGUGAUCUGCUCUGCACUCCUCAUGUCACACCACCCACCAUCCUCCUUUGGGUUGGAUUUCCUUCUCACUGUGUCCCAGUGUCUAGAAUAUGAAGGGACUUUGCCACCCCUCUGGGGACUUGCAUAUCCUGCAUUGAUGCCUCUCUUCUGUAGGCUUGGUCCCCUUGGUGCCCAACCUCCUGCUUGAUGGUGUUGCUUUGGGGUGUGUUCACAUUCUCCAAGGAGCCCUUCCCGAAAGCAGUAAAAAUAACCUGUGUGCGUUCUACAGGGGCUGAGUGGGCUGCUCUGGAGAGGACCAUGGGGUCUGUUGGAAAAACAUGAGUGUGGUGCGGGGAGGAGGCUGGGGAAGGAAUGCAGAAUCUAAAGAUGGAGAUCCUUGCCAAAUUAAAUAAAAAGGGUUUUUGUUUUUCCAAGCGAGAGCCCAGUUAGAAGCAAUUAAAUUGACAAUCAACUCAACCCAACCCAAACCAUGAGGACCGAGUUCUAGUUUCUUACAGAUUUAUAAUUUGCUAAAUUUUGUCUUUUAAACACCCACCAGACACAUAUUCCCUCUUGCACAUUUAGUUCCUAAUUGUUAUCCUAAGAUGAUUUAUUUGUUCUGGCAGGAAGAUAAAAGGAAGAGAUAGCUCCAGUGGAGUUUAUU
This 2720-nucleotide long non-coding RNA is filed under the name Equus asinus (donkey). RNAcentral describes it as "lncRNA (ENSEASG00005026941.1)". The record is from RNAcentral. Lineage: Eukaryota; Metazoa; Chordata; Mammalia; Perissodactyla; Equidae.